CAAAUGUCUAAAGGAGAUAAGGUGAGCAAAAGCUAGAUGUCAGGCUUGGGUGAGCUGUUUAUUUAUUUUUAUUAGAUAUGUAUAACUAUUGUAGCCAUUUAUAUUUUACUUAAUAUUAUCUCAGCUGCAAAGGUCAUAUAUACAAUAGUGUCACUACUUUAUUACAGACAUUUAGCUAACUUCUAACAAUUCAUAUCGCACACAGCAUGAGAAAUACAGAAUAGAAUAAUAAAUAACUUUGGUUGCACUUGAUUUUAACAAAGGACUGUGAUAUAUAGGAGUAUGUUUGUUCUCUAUGAAAGUAUAGGGAAAUGAGGG
Molecule: long non-coding RNA, 318 nt
Filed under: Homo sapiens (human)
Lineage: Eukaryota; Metazoa; Chordata; Mammalia; Primates; Hominidae
Description: HSALNT0018081
Source: RNAcentral